RNAcentral lists this ribosomal RNA (2070 nucleotides) under Triticum aestivum (bread wheat). Its description in RNAcentral is "partial small subunit ribosomal RNA". The record is from RNAcentral. Lineage: Eukaryota; Viridiplantae; Streptophyta; Magnoliopsida; Poales; Poaceae.
AUGAAGGCGAAGCACAGAAAUAUAGUACGAUUUCUGGGAUAUUGUAGCGACAGACAAGAGGAAUUCUUAAAAUAUGAAGGAAAAUCUAUCAUGGCUGGCAUUCAAGAAAGGUUACUCUGCUUUGAGUAUGUACAGAAGGGGGAUCUUGUGAAGUAUAUCUCUGAUGCAUCUAGUGGACUUGAAUGGCGGGAUCGCUACAAAAUAAUAAAAGGAAUCUGUGAGGGAUUGAAUUACCUUCACACACAAAAUAUUGUUCACCUGGAUCUUAAGCCAGCAAAUAUACUCAUGGACGAUAAAAUGGUGCCGAAAAUCACUGACUUUGGUGUAUCGAGGUGCUUCAAAGAUGACCAAACCCGCACUAUUGUUACAAGAGUUGCUGGAACCCCUGGAUAUCUGGCACCAGAAUUCACCAAUGGCAUAAUUACAUUCAAAUAUGACGUGUACGCUCUUGGUGUUAUAAUCAUGGAGAUACUGACUGGAGCAAAAGGAUACCAUGAACCUAGGGAAGUACUUGAAAGGUGGAGCAAUAGGCUGGAAACACCACAGAAACUGCAAGUACGAGUAUGCACUAACAUAGCAAUAGAGAGCCUUGAUUUCAAUCCUGCGAGAAGACCAACUGGUAUACAAAAUGUAAUUGAUAGGCUUACUGAAACGGAAAGCACGGGAACGAGGGACCAACUUGACGUGUACCUUGUCGAGCUUCGCUUCCCUGUCAGAACCAACACAGAUGAACACACGGUAUUCAGGCUUAUAAAGAAGAGCACCAAGCCGUGGCGUUGCUUUGCAAGUCUCCCACUAUACGGCAUUGUGCCUUCCAGGUUCACCACAUACACUCUCGUUGUUACAACGCAACAGCAAGAGAGGCUACCAGAAGAAACGGAGUAUGAUCUGAUCCUGCAGAGCAGUCUGUCUGGAGAUAAAAAAAUCCCUACUUCGAGAGACCAAUCUAAGUAUAAAAAGUUAUUCGACGAAGCUAAAGAGUCAGGGAGUGAAGUGCGUGAGGUGAUGCUGAAAACUGUUUUUGCUUCCGCGCCUGAUGUAUCUUUUUUUCAGACAAUCUCAAGAAGAAUAAAGGAUCAACGGAUCAUAUCCCUUAAGAAUACUAAUGGUGUUCUGUGCUCCCUUGAUGCACACCCUACGGAGCCAUGCAUUAUAACAGGUCAUCAGAACGGAGAUGUUUGCAUAUGGAACUAUGACACGCAGAGACAGAUGGAUUCGUUUAGUGUCUCGAAGGAGUCAGUCAUGCCUUCUUACGUACCAAAAAAAGUUCAUUCCGUUAAAGUUGUCUCAAGAAAGAAAUGGUUUGUGGCUGGAACAUCUGAUGGUGUGAUCCACGUGUACAAUUAUGACAACAAAAUACAGAAACUCAGAAGCUUCAGAGCCGCCAGUGAUUGCUUCAUCACAUCAAUGGCCGUCAAUCCAACCCGUCCGUACGUAUUGUCAUCGGCUUAUCGUGAUAUGAAGCUCUGGGACUGGAGCAAGGGAUGGGAGUGCAGACAUUCAUUCGUGGAAGAACACUCCGAUACUAUACGUCAAGUCGCAUUUAACCCAAUGGACACCAGCAUUUUUGCAAGUGCUUCAGAUGAUCUCACGGUAAAGGUUUGGAGCAUUAAUUCUCCUGAAUCUAAAUAUACUUUGUCUGGGCAUCUGGACAAAGUGAACUGUCUCGAUUUCUUCACAUGUGAUGAUCGACAAUAUUUGAUUACUGGCUCUGACGACCACACUGCUAAGAUAUGGGACAUGGAGGAAAAGGCCUGUGUUCAUACAAUGGAAGCUUUCAUGUCUCCAGUAAUUUCUGUCAUUGCCUUCCCCGGUAGCCCAUAUCUGAUUACAGGUUCAAGAGAUGGCUCUGUUUAUUUCUGGAGCUCCAGUGAAUUCAGUGAAUUCUGCAAAGUUCCUAGGCUGGAGAGAAUCGUGAACUUCGGCUCUGGUGGAGCUAUUUGGGGUUUCGGACGUUUCAUGGGGUCAAGAAGGAUUGUGAUCGGACAAGAGUACACGGUGUCAAUCAUGGCCAUCGACAAUGAAGAAGAACCAUUUGCUAGUGAGGAGAGCAAUGAUAAGUCCAUAUGA